This 68-nucleotide transfer RNA is filed under the name Acheilognathus meridianus. RNAcentral describes it as "tRNA-Cys". It matches the Rfam family "tRNA". Rfam says of the family: Transfer RNA (tRNA) molecules are approximately 80 nucleotides in length. Their secondary structure includes four short double-helical elements and three loops (D, anti-codon, and T loops). Lineage: Eukaryota; Metazoa; Chordata; Actinopteri; Cypriniformes; Acheilognathidae. The record is from RNAcentral.
AGCCCUGUAGUGAAGUACCACGUUGGAUUGCAAAUCCAGAGGCGCAGACUAAUACCCUGCCGGGGCUU